RNAcentral lists this ribosomal RNA (366 nucleotides) under uncultured bacterium. RNAcentral's name for it is "partial 16S ribosomal RNA". It matches the Rfam family "Bacterial small subunit ribosomal RNA", at positions 338 to 701 of the family's 1533-position model. The record is from RNAcentral.
CCUACGUGAGGCAGCAGUGAGGAAUAUUGGUCAAUGGCCGUAAGGCUGAACCAGCCAAGUAGCGUGAGGGAAGACUGCCCUAUGGGUUGUAAACCUCUGUUAUGCGGGGAUAAAGGGGGCCACGUGUGGAUGUUUGCAGGUACCGCAUGAAUAAGGACCGGCUAAUUCCGUGCCAGCAGCCGCGGUAAUACGGAAGGUCCGGGCGUUAUCCGGAUUUAUUGGGUUUAAAGGGAGCGUAGGCCGGUCUUUAAGCGUGCCGGGAAAUUUUGUGGCUCAACCAUGAGAGUGCGGCGCGAACGGGAGCCCUUUCGUGCGCGGCAGGCAGGCGGAAUUCGUGGUGUAGCGGUGAUAUGCUUAGCUAUCACG